UCCCUAUGAAGAAGAAUUCCCAAAGAUAGGAAGUGCCGUAUGACACUCAAACACAAAAGCGUGACUU
Arabis alpina (gray rockcress) is the source of this 67-nucleotide non-coding RNA. Lineage: Eukaryota; Viridiplantae; Streptophyta; Magnoliopsida; Brassicales; Brassicaceae. The record is from Rfam.